AUUGAACGCUGGCGGCAGGCCUAACACAUGCAAGUCGAGCGGAGCGGCGGACGGGUGAGUAAUGCCUAGGAAUCUGCCUGGUAGUGGGGGAUAACGACCGGAAAGGGGCGCUAAUACAGCAUACUAUCAGAUGAGCCUAGGGCGGAUUAGCUAGUUGGUGGGGUAAAGGCCAACCAAGGCGACGAUCCGUAACUGGUCUGAGAGGAUGAUCAGUCACACUGGAACUGAGACACGGUCCAGACUCCCACGAGAGGCAGCAGUGGGGAAUAUUGGACAAUGGGCGAAAGCCUGAUCCAGCCAUGCCGCGUGUGUGAGGAAGGCAUUCGGAUUGUAAAGCACUUUAAGUUGGGAGGCGUUCCCAACAGAAGUAGCACCGGCUAACUUCGUGCCAGCAGCCGCGGUAAUUC
Molecule: ribosomal RNA, 407 nt
Filed under: uncultured bacterium
Lineage: Bacteria
Description: partial 16S ribosomal RNA
Rfam family: Bacterial small subunit ribosomal RNA
Source: RNAcentral